GAUGAACGCUGGCGGCGUGCCUAAUACAUGCAAGUCGAGCGAACAGACGAGGAGCUUGCUCCUCUGACGUUAGCGGCGGACGGGUGAGUAACACGUGGAUAACCUACCUAUAAGACUGGGAUAACUUCGGGAAACCGGAGCUAAUACCGGAUAACAUGUUGAACCGCAUGGUUCAACAGUGAAAGACGGUCUUGCUGUCACUUAUAGAUGGAUCCGCGCCGCAUUAGCUAGUUGGUAAGGUAACGGCUUACCAAGGCAACGAUGCGUAGCCGACCUGAGAGGAUGAUCGGCCACACUGGAACUGAGACGCGGUCCAGACUCCUACGGGAGGCAGCAGUAGGGAAUCUUCCGCAAUGGGCGAAAUCCUGACGGAGCAACGCCGCGUGAGUGAAGAAGGUCUUCGGAUCGUAAAACUCUGUUAUUAGGGAAGAACAAAUGUGUAAGUAACUAUGCACGUCUUGACGGUACCUAAUCAGAAAGCCACGGCUAACUACGUG
RNAcentral lists this ribosomal RNA (497 nucleotides) under uncultured bacterium. RNAcentral describes it as "partial 16S ribosomal RNA". It matches the Rfam family "Bacterial small subunit ribosomal RNA", at positions 28 to 507 of the family's 1533-position model. The record is from RNAcentral.